UACGAAGGGGGCUAGCGUUGCUCGGAAUCACUGGGCGUAAAGCGCACGUAGGCGGCUUUUUAAGUCAGGGGUGAAAUCCUGGAGCUCAGCUCCAGAACUGCCUUUGAUACUGAGAAGCUUGAGUCCGGGAGAGGUGAGUGGAACUGCGAGUGUAGAGGUGAAAUUCGUAGAUAUUCGCAAGAACACCAGUGGCGAAGGCGGCUCACUGGCCCGGUACUGACGCUGAGGUGCGAAAGCGUGGGGAGCAAACGGG
Molecule: ribosomal RNA, 253 nt
Filed under: uncultured bacterium
Lineage: Bacteria
Description: partial 16S ribosomal RNA
Rfam family: Bacterial small subunit ribosomal RNA
Source: RNAcentral